GAGAUUCCCCCAGUAGCGGCGAGCGAACGGGGAGCAGCCCAGAGCCUGAAUCAGUGUGUGUGUUAGUGGAAGCGUCUGGAAAGGCGUGCGAUACAGGGUGACAGCCCCGUACACAAAAAUGCACAUACUGUGAGCUCGAUGAGUAGGGCGGGACACGUGGUAUCCUGUCUGAAUAUGGGGGGACCAUCCUCCAAGGCUAAAUACUCCUGACUGACCGAUAGUGAACCAGUACCGUGAGGGAAAGGCGAAAAGAA
RNAcentral lists this ribosomal RNA (254 nucleotides) under Escherichia coli. RNAcentral's name for it is "partial 23S ribosomal RNA". It matches the Rfam family "Bacterial large subunit ribosomal RNA", at positions 231 to 523 of the family's 2925-position model. Lineage: Bacteria; Pseudomonadati; Pseudomonadota; Gammaproteobacteria; Enterobacterales; Enterobacteriaceae. RNAcentral also lists the same sequence under 1 other name. The record is from RNAcentral.